RNAcentral lists this small RNA (150 nucleotides) under Crocodylus porosus (Australian saltwater crocodile). RNAcentral's name for it is "Vertebrate telomerase RNA (ENSCPRG00005009180.1)". It matches the Rfam family "Vertebrate telomerase RNA", at positions 9 to 192 of the family's 443-position model. Rfam says of the family: Telomerase is a ribonucleoprotein reverse transcriptase that synthesises telomeric DNA. Lineage: Eukaryota; Metazoa; Chordata; Crocodylia; Crocodylidae. The record is from Rfam by way of RNAcentral.
GGGCAGGGGGCGGCGCUUCCACUCUAACCCUAACAGGCGCUGGGCCGCUCCCCGCGUGCACGCGCUGUUUUCCUCGCUGACUUUCAGCGCGCGGCGGGAGCAGGCCGGAGCCAUCAACCAAAAAACGUCAGCGCGGCGCCGCCCCCGCCC